This 464-nucleotide ribosomal RNA is filed under the name uncultured bacterium. RNAcentral's name for it is "partial 16S ribosomal RNA". It matches the Rfam family "Bacterial small subunit ribosomal RNA", at positions 338 to 795 of the family's 1533-position model. The record is from RNAcentral.
CCUACGGGUGGCAGCAGUAGGGAAUUUUCGGCAAUGGGCGAUAGCCUGACCGAGCAACGCCGCGUGAACGAAGAAGGUCUUCGGAUUGUAAAGUUCUGUUAUAGAGGAAGAAUGGUGUACGUAGGAAAUGGCGUACAAAUGACGGUACUCUGUGAGGAAGCCACGGCUAACUACGUGCCAGCAGCCGCGGUAAUACGGAGGAUGCGAGCGUUAUCCGGAUUUAUUGGGUUUAAAGGGUGCGUAGGCGGAAUGCCAAGUCAGCGGUAAAAUCGCGGGGCUCAACCUCGCUCCGCCGUUGUAACUGGCGUUCUUGAGUGGGCGAGAAGUAUGCGGAAUGCGUGGUGUAGCGGUGAAAUGCAUAGAUAUCACGCAGAACUCCGAUUGCGAAGGCAGCAUACCGGCGCCCAACUGACGCUGAAGCACGAAAGCGUGGGUAUCGAACAGGAUUAGAUACCCGGGUAGUC